UCUUUAACGGCCUCUGUUUUUACUUUCCGUUUGAGGGCAUGCAACAAACUUCAGCCUGGUCCUCACAGCCAUUGCCCUGUUGGGGCCAUUCUCCCACAAGCUGUCCAAGCUCCAAAACACAACCCCUAGCCUCUAUGUGCUGUGUGCAUAAUCCUGCAGUUAGGGGCUUUAUGCCUCCCAUUUCAAGGAAGUACUGGGGACCCACUUUCAUUAGCUAAUAUAUAGCUCCUGAUGCACAGCAAGCUGCUUUGAAUACCCAGAUUGAAAGACCCACCCCAAUAACCUCAUAAGAAACAAAAUACAAGAAUCAGGCACAAUACUUUCUUCUUGGAUCAUAACCUGAAGGUUUGAGACUCAGACUCUGGCCGACUUCCAGCAGGAGGAAGCCUUUAUUGUUCAAUAAAACUAUUCUGCUGUAGGCAGAAAGGUGUCACCAUUAGUGGCAUUGCAAUUUGCAUCAGGCCUUUUCAUUCUGCUUUAUGAUAGCUCUCCAACACAGCGUGGUUUUGGGGGGUUAGGUUGGAGGCUAGCAGCAAAAGAGUUGGGUUCUUUGUGAAACUCCUUUUUCCCCCAACUGCUUUGCUGCAUAACCUUGGGCAAAGUCUGUAUCGAUCAUGUAUACCUUGGCUUCACCCUCUGUAAAAUGGGGAUAAUAUUACUGACUGACCCAUCUUUUAGAUUCUUAGAUGAAAGGUGCUAUUUCAGUGGAAAGUGUUGUUAUUGGCAAAUUCACUAUAAGCAAUUCCUUUGGGUCCUUGAUAACAACAGUAGAAUCAGUCAAAUGCCCUUGAUGCACUGCAUGGUCCCAGAUACCUUUCAGAGUUUCUUUGUGUGCUGUCCUACCCCCUGAGGUCUGAGGGGACGGGGCUGCUGGAGCCUGGAUUUUCCAGGAAGGGUAGUGUGUUUGCUUCUGGCCUCAAGGCUGUAAACUGCUCUUCUUUUUGACAUGAGGUGGACCAUUGGAAUGAUCCUCUUUUAAAGGAGGUUUAAAAACUUUUUAAAAUUAUAAAUUUCAGAAGGCCUUCAGCAGAUUGUGUUGCCUUAUAAGUCAACUUUUAACUCCACACCACAGUAGGAAGCAGCUAAACAGAAAAAAACGGGAUAAAGUUUACCUUUCAGAAAUAUGCCAAGUAACACACUGCAGCACGCUAAGACUACAAGGACUGGAGGCUGAGUGAAGCUAAACUGCCCAGAAGCAACUGUCCAUUUUCAUUCUUGCACCACAGUUCAACGAUUAACUUUGGGCAUGUAAAAAGAACAUACAGACGUAAUUGCCGGAAACAUUGUGAAGAAGCUGAACUGAGGCUGAAGUUUAGAACUAAAUUGCGCUGAUUUUUCUUCAUUAACAUUCUACUAAUGGCAUCUUAGAGAGGUGCCACCAGUACUCCUCGUUCUUUUUGCUGAUACAGACUAACACGGCUACCACUCUGAAACCAUUCUACUAAUGGAAAUUAGUUUUCUGUCUUCAUUACGGCAAUGUACACCACACUCUUUUGAAAAUGUAAUUAAAGCAAAGAGUUGUAUA
Chrysemys picta bellii (western painted turtle) is the source of this 1525-nucleotide long non-coding RNA. RefSeq lists it as uncharacterized. Lineage: Eukaryota; Metazoa; Chordata; Testudines; Emydidae. The record is from RefSeq and is a predicted model, not a curated record.